RNAcentral lists this long non-coding RNA (971 nucleotides) under Eutrema salsugineum. RNAcentral's name for it is "long non-coding RNA (ESAL_LNC001725)". Lineage: Eukaryota; Viridiplantae; Streptophyta; Magnoliopsida; Brassicales; Brassicaceae. The record is from RNAcentral.
CGACAUUUCUAUUCAUUAAAAAGCCCAAAGGGCAAUACACAAGUGGUGUAAAUUAGACAGAGCCCAAUAUAAAACCCAGAUAGAGAUUUAACAUACACGAAACACGUGUAAUUUAACAAGUAACCCUAAAGAACAAAAUGAAAACACGUGUCUUGAAGGAUAAGUCUUGACUUUGAGCGGCGCCGCUUCAGAUCCGACGAAGACCGCCGGCGAGUUUCCCGAUCUUCAAACCAGCUGCCACAAGACUCCGAUUCUUCAAUUAUCUCGCACCAUUGUAACCUCUUCCAGCACAAUUUCUCCAACAAAGAUGAUAGAAACUUCCUUGAAUCGCCAAAGUAAAUCCAACGAAAAGUUUGAAGGAUUUGACAGCUAAAAAGCCUUAACCAAAUUCUCAAACAGAUCGAACACACAAUUCUAAAAUUUGAAAGAGAAACUCUAACCUAUCUCAAGAGGUAGAGAUUGACUACUCCCCAAAUAGAAGAAUCGAGCAAAGCGAUAACAGAAAGCAACUUUAUUUCAAUUUAACAGGUCAGAGAAAGAGGAGAAGGUGAAAAUCCGAAAACGGAAAUCUUUAGUUUCAUUGCUGGAAAAAACCGAAUAAAUCUUCAAAUAGAAUAGAAACUCGCUCCACUUAGGAUUAGCGAUGUAAACUAUUCCUAAAACAAGAAGAAUCGUUCGAUUCCAGCAGAAAAGAGAAUCAAAUCUUUAAAACCAAAUAUCCCCAUCUCUUUCUAAAGAAAAUCCGAUAAUCGGAAAGCAAAACGUUAAAUCCGGUCAUCGCCGGAAAGUUAUUAUCCGAUAAACGGGAGAAAAGAUCCAGAUUAAGCCGGAAAACAUCCGAUAUUGAUCGGUAUUUACAUUAAAAUCGGAGAAAAAGCUCUCUCUCUCUCAAGGAUAGAGAUGUGAGAAGAGAGAGAGAGAAAAAAACUCCCCUGAAAAUGGGGAAGCAAAAUGAGACUUCAGUGUUUUAA